AGAGUUUGAUCUGGCUCAGACGACGCUGCGCGUGCUUACACAUGCAAGUCGAACGAUGACCACUCGGUGGGGAUUAGUGGCGAACGGGUGAGUAACACGUGGGCAAUCUGCCCUUCACUCUGGGACAAGCCCUGGAAACGGGGUCUAAUACCGGAUACAACACUCUCGGGCAUCCGAUGAGUGUGGAAAGCUCCGGCGGUGAAGGAUGAGCCCGCGGCCUAUCAGCUUGUUGGUGAGGUAACGGCUCACCAAGGCGACGACGGGUAGCCGGCCUGAGAGGGCGACCGGCCACACUGGGACUGAGACACGGCCCAGACUCCUACGGGAGGCAGCAGUGGGGAAUAUUGCACAAUGGGCGAAAGCCUGAUGCAGCGACGCCGCGUGAGGGAUGACGGCCUUCGGGUUGUAAACCUCUUUCAGCAGGGAAGAAGCGAAAGUGACGGUACCUGCAGAAGAAGCGCCGGCUAACUACGUGCCAGCAGCCGCGGUAAUACGUAGGGCGCGAGCGUUGUCCGGAAUUAUUGGGCGUAAAGAGCUCGUAGGCGGUCUGUCGCGUCGGAUGUGAAAGCCCGGGGCUUAACCCCGGGUCUGCAUUCGAUACGGGCAGACUAGAGUGUGGUAGGGGAGAUCGGAAUUCCUGGUGUAGCGGUGAAAUGCGCAGAUAUCAGGAGGAACACCGGUGGCGAAGGCGGAUCUCUGGGCCAUUACUGACGCUGAGGAGCGAAAGCGUGGGGAGCGAACAGGAUUAGAUACCCUGGUAGUCCACGCCGUAAACGGUGGGAACUAGGUGUUGGCGACAUUCCACGUCGUCGGUGCCGCAGCUAACGCAUUAAGUUCCCCGCCUGGGGAGUACGGCCGCAAGGCUAAAACUCAAAGGAAUUGACGG
RNAcentral lists this ribosomal RNA (886 nucleotides) under uncultured bacterium. RNAcentral's name for it is "bacterial SSU rRNA". It matches the Rfam family "Bacterial small subunit ribosomal RNA", at positions 8 to 916 of the family's 1533-position model. The record is from RNAcentral.